AGUUCGGUCCCUAUCUGUCGUGGGCGCUGGAGAACUGAGGGGGGCUGCUCCUAGUACGAGAGGACCGGAGUGGACGCAUCACUGGUGUUCGGGUUGUCAUGCCAAUGGCACUGCCCGGUAGCUAAAUGCGGAAGAGAUAAGUGCUGAAAGCAUCUAAGCACGAAACUUGCCCCGAGAUGAGUUCUCCCUGAGACUUAGAGUCUCCUGAAGGAACGUUGAAGACGACGACGUUGAUAGGCCGGGUGUGUAAGCGCAGCGAUGCGUUGAGCUAACCGGUACUAAUGAACCGUGAGGCUUAACCUUACAACGCCGAAG
This 315-nucleotide ribosomal RNA is filed under the name Salmonella enterica. Its description in RNAcentral is "partial 23S ribosomal RNA". It matches the Rfam family "Bacterial large subunit ribosomal RNA", at positions 2628 to 2925 of the family's 2925-position model. Lineage: Bacteria; Pseudomonadati; Pseudomonadota; Gammaproteobacteria; Enterobacterales; Enterobacteriaceae. The record is from RNAcentral.